This is a long non-coding RNA of Mugil cephalus (flathead mullet), 634 nucleotides long. RefSeq lists it as uncharacterized. The transcript is spliced from 3 exons. The record is from RefSeq and is a predicted model, not a curated record. Lineage: Eukaryota; Metazoa; Chordata; Actinopteri; Mugiliformes; Mugilidae.
UCACGGCAGUCACUAAACACCUCAAGGUGCAACUAAGCAACAACCUCCACGAAACCAAGACACCCCACAGUGACCCCUGGAGGCUGGCUUCAGAAGAGACCUCCAUGUUAACAGGUCUAACUUAUAGUAAUAAACGUGUUCACAGCCUGCAGGACGCCCUCGGAGAAUGAUACGCCCCUCCCCUCCCAGUCCCACUCUCUGGCUGUCAGCUCUGCUCAGCUCCACACCGAAUCUUCUCUUACACCAACAAACCAGCCCCGUCCAGGCUUUUCAUCGCCUCUCGUCUCUGAGUGUUGGAUCCCUGAGAGUACCUGACAACUCACAGCUCAGAUUCCACUGCAGGCUCAAAUCUGCCGUGGGAUACCUGUAUUGUGAUUGGUCGUUGCCGCCCACGUCAGGACACCUCAGCUUCUGAACCAAGAUCCGAAUGAUGCUGAUGAACUGGAUGAAGUUCACCUUGGAGAUGGAGAGGAGAUCACAGCUGAGUCAUAAACAAAAAAAAACAAACAAAACAAAAAAAACCCUGGGGGGUGAUUGUGGUGUCUGUUGCUGCGUUGGAUAUUUUUCCACCCACAAACGUAGGAACUAUAAAAAUGAAGUUUGUGCUCCAACAGCUGUAAAAAAAGAUGGACUU